AAUUUUUAAAUAUUUAUCUUUUUACUUUUCUUUCUCAUUCAUCAAUCUAUCGUCUCUUCAGCUAGAUCUUCUACUUCAAUCAUUCGAUGUUGUCGGUGAAGAUCUUCAUAUAACGUCCGCAGACACAACAACAACACAGAUCAUAGCUGGUAGAAGGUAAAGCAGCAGAAACCGGCGGGAUCCUCCGUCGUUUCCUUUCUUUCGAUGUUGGUGCCGCCUCUAACGCUGAAUCAUCAGCUGCCUCUAACACCGCCUCUAUUGAUGUUCAUGUGGUCGCCGCUCGCAUUUUAAGGAUCCGAUUGUAUCAAGAUGGCGUUUGAUAUUCUGGUUAGUGGAUUGGAUUCCUAAAGAAGGUGGCUAUUUCAUCGGCAAUCUACAGUCUGCACAUAUGGAUUUUAGGUUUUUCACAUUUGGGAAUCUUUGGACCAUUAUUUCCUCUUUGAGAACCCAAAAACAUAAUGAGGGUAUCCUGAAUUUGAUUGAGGCAAAAUGGGAUGAUCUUGUUGCUAAUAUGCCACUUAAGAUUUCUUAUUCUGCUUUGGAAUCUGAAGAAUGGCGUAUAAUUACUGGAUGUGACCCAAAGAAUACAUGAGGCUCUCUUGAUUCAUAUGCUAAUGUCAUGAUACCUUAUGAAAAGGUUUUCAUAAUUUUAUGAAUAUAUCUUGCUAAUGUAGUGAAAUAUUUGUUUA
Mercurialis annua (annual mercury) is the source of this 689-nucleotide long non-coding RNA. RefSeq lists it as uncharacterized. The transcript is spliced from 2 exons. Lineage: Eukaryota; Viridiplantae; Streptophyta; Magnoliopsida; Malpighiales; Euphorbiaceae. The record is from RefSeq and is a predicted model, not a curated record.